GACGAACGCUGGCGGCGUGCCUAAUACAUGCAAGUCGAGCGAAUCUUAAAGGAGCUUGCUCCUUUAAGAUGAGCGGCGGACGGGUGAGUAACACGUGGGCAACCUGCCUGUAAGACUGGGAUAACUUCGGGAAACCGGAGCUAAUACCGGAUCAUUCUUUCCCUCACAUGGGGGAAAGCUAAAAGACGGCGCAAGCUGUCACUUACAGAUGGGCCCGCGGCGCAUUAGCUAGUUGGUGAGGUAACGGCUCACCAAGGCAACGAUGCGUAGCCGACCUGAGAGGGUGAUCGGCCACAUUGGGACUGAGACACGGGCCCAAACUCCUACGGGAGGCAG
RNAcentral lists this ribosomal RNA (336 nucleotides) under uncultured Bacillota bacterium. RNAcentral describes it as "bacterial SSU rRNA". It matches the Rfam family "Bacterial small subunit ribosomal RNA", at positions 28 to 351 of the family's 1533-position model. The record is from RNAcentral. Lineage: Bacteria; Bacillati; Bacillota.